Grus americana (Whooping crane) is the source of this 2322-nucleotide RNA transcript. It is a transcript of the gene named iroquois homeobox 3, with no coding region annotated. Lineage: Eukaryota; Metazoa; Chordata; Aves; Gruiformes; Gruidae. The record is from RefSeq and is a predicted model, not a curated record. The transcript is spliced from 4 exons.
AGCGAGCUCUGGGCAUGAGAGAGAGAGGGAGGCAGAGGGAGAGAGAGAGACUUAAAAGAAAUAGGAGGGGCUUGUGAGAGACUAGAAAUGUCAAUCAGAGCCCAGAGUCCCAAUAAUCUCAGGCAAUCUGUUAGGACCUGACCUGGGUCCACUCAGAUCAAUAGGAAAAGUGAGAGAAGAAAGAAGCGAUCGGAUCGUUUACCGCGGCGGCCGAGGACAGGAGGGAGCCCGCGGCCUCCGCGCACCCCCGGCUCCCCCCCCACCCCCCCCAUGUCCGCCGGAGUUUGCGGGAGGCGCUGAAAGUGCGGGCGGCCGGCGAGGGCGAGCGACCCGGCUCCCUCCUCCGCUCCCGGCCCUGCUACUUUCUCCCCUUUCUCUCCCUUCUUCCUCUCUUCUCCCCCCCCCCUCCUCCUCCUCCUCCCCCCCUCCCCUGCCCCCGCUCCCCCACCAUGUCUUUCCCCCAGCUGGGCUACCAGUACAUCAGGCCGAUUUACCCGGCGGAGCGCCCCGGGAGCGGCGGCUCCCGCGGCGGCGCCGAGCUGGCCCCGUCCGGGACCCUCUCCAACGUGCUCUCCUCCAUGUACGGCGCGCCCUACGCCGCCGCCGCCGCCGCCCAGGGCUACGGAGCCUUCCUGCCCUACGCCGCCGAGCUGCCCAUCUUCCCCCAGCUGGGCGCCCAGUACGAGCUGAAGGAGAGCCCGGGGGUGCAGCAUGCCGCCUUCCCCCACCACCACCCCGCCUUCUACCCCUACGGGCAGUACCAGUUCGGGGACCCGUCGCGGCCCAAGAACGCCACCCGGGAGAGCACCAGCACCCUCAAGGCCUGGCUCAACGAGCACCGGAAAAACCCCUACCCCACCAAGGGCGAGAAGAUCAUGCUGGCCAUCAUCACCAAAAUGACCCUCACCCAGGUCUCCACCUGGUUCGCCAACGCGCGGCGGCGGCUCAAAAAGGAGAAUAAAAUGACCUGGGCCCCCCGCAGCAGGACGGACGAGGAGGGCAACUCCUACGGGAGCGACCACGAGGGGGAAGAGGACAAGAGGGAGGACGAGGAGGAGAUCGACCUGGAGAACAUCGACACCGAGAACAUCGAGAGCAACAAGGACGAGCUGGAGGACGAGCUGCAGGACGCCGACCUCCUGCACUCCGACUCCAAGACGGACUCGGAGGGCUCCGAGGGCUUCGAGGACCUGCCCGGCUCCGAGGAGCGCUACCUCAAGGCCGCCGAGGGGGACCCGCACCACCUCCGCCACCACCACCACCUCCACCAUCACCACCACCACCACCACCACAAGUGCGAGCUCCCCGCCGCCGCCGUCCCCGCCGGCCUGGAGCCCCUCAAGCCGCCCCUCCAGCCGCCUCCGCACCACCUCUCGCCCCCUUCCUCCGCCUCCUCCUCCGCCGCCUCCUCCCCGACGGACGGCGCUUUGGCCGGCACUCUGCCGAAGCCCAAGAUCUGGUCGCUGGCCGAGACAGCCACCAGCCCGGACAACCCCCGCAAGUCUCCCGGCGGCGGCUCCCCGCCGGCGGCCGCCCCCCAGCCGCUGCCGCCCCCGCCGCCCCCGCCGCCCCACAGACUCGUCUCCUCCUGCCCCCUGGGCAAGUUCCCCAACUGGACCAACCGCGCCUUCCCGGCCCACCACCACCACCACCACCCGCCCCCGCACCCGCUGGCCUUACUGAACACUCCCCACCUGCUGGGGCUGGGGGCUGCCCCCGCCGCCGCCCCCCCCGCCGCCGCCGCCGCCGCCUUCCCGCGGCCCGCGGACCAGGCGCAGAGCGCGGAGCCCGCCGGAGCAGGUGACCGCUGAGGGACGCGGCGGGGACGGGCCGGGCCGGCAGGCACCGCGGGGGGCUCGGCGGGGCUGCGCGGUGCUGCGCGGGAGGCCCCGCGGGACCUUGUGCGAGGGGCCGAGGCGGGGGGCGCCGGCCCCGCGGUUUUCUCACGGUGCCCUCGGCGCGGCGCAGCCGUCGGGGCGCAGGUGGCGGCGGGCGGGCGGCCGCGGGGCCCCCGGGGGCGGCGGAGGCGGCGGCGGUGGCAGGGGGGGCCCUCCUCGCCACGUUGGUCUAAAACCCCGAGAAUUACCUUCCUCCGACGGAGAUAAUUUUUGUUGCUGUUGUUGUUGCUGCUCAAAUCGUCUUUGUGAGAAGGACCCGGCCGUAAGGCUUGCUCCGGGGUUGGUUUAUUUUCCUUUUGACGAUCGAUCUAGUGCCUUGGAAGUAGAGAAAAAGUUAAUAAAGACAGCUUUCCAGCCAGUGCAGAGGCGGCCCCAGAACCAACUUGAUGCCGCUAUGGUUCUAUCGGCGUUGUCAUCAUCAUAG